UAACGAGGAUUCCCCUAGUAACGGCGAGUGAAGCGGGAAGAGCUCAAAUUUGUAAUCUGGCGGUCUCUGGCCGUCCGAGUUGUAGUCUGGAGAAGCGUUUUCCGCGUCGGACCGUGUACAAGUCCCUUGGAACAGGGCGUCAUAGAGGGUGAGAAUCCCGUCUUUGACACGGACUGCCGAUGCUUUGUGAUGCGCUCUCGAAGAGUCGAGUUGUUUGGGAAUGCAGCUCAAAACGGGUGGUAAAUUCCAUCUAAAGCUAAAUAUGGGCGAAAGACCGAUAGCGAACAAGUACCGUGAGGGAAAGAUGAAAAGCACUUUGGAAAGAGAGUUAAACAGUACGUGAAAUUGUUGAAAGGGAAACGCUUGAAGUCAGUCGCGUCUUCCGGGACUCAGCCUUGCCUUUUUGCGCUUGGUGUACUUCCCGGGGUGAUGGGCCAGCAUCGAUUUCGGCCGUCGGAGACAGGCUUUGGGAAUGUGGCACCUUCGGGUGUGUUUAUAGCCCUUUGUCGUAUGCGACGGUUGGGAUCGAGGAUCGCAGCACGCCUUCAUUGGCCGGGGUUCGCCCACGUUAACGUGCUUAGGAUGCUGGCGUAAUGGCUUUAAGCGACCCGUCUUGAAACACGGACCAAGGAGUCUAACAUGCCUGCGAGUGUUUGGGUGGAAAACCCGGACGCGAAAUGAAAGUGAAAGGUCGGGACCUCUGUCGUGGAGGGCACCGACGCCCGGACCAGACCUUUUGUGACGGUUCCGAGGUAGAGCAUGCAUGCUGGGACCCGAAAGAUGGUGAACUAUGCCUGAGUAGGGUGAAGCCAGAGGAAACUCUGGUGGAGGCUCGUAGCGAUUCUGACGUGCAAAUCGAUCGUCGAACUUGGGUAUAGGGCGAA
Molecule: ribosomal RNA, 884 nt
Filed under: Ramaria conjunctipes var. sparsiramosa
Lineage: Eukaryota; Fungi; Basidiomycota; Agaricomycetes; Gomphales; Gomphaceae
Description: eukaryotic LSU rRNA
Rfam family: Eukaryotic large subunit ribosomal RNA
Source: RNAcentral